AAGGCCGAGAGCUGAUGACGAGUUGCCUUUAGGCGACGAAGUGGUUGAUACCAUGCUUCCAAGAAAAGCUCCUAAGCUUCAGAUAACUGGGAACCGUACCCCAAACCGACACAGGUGGUUAGGUAGAGAAUACCAAGGCGCUUGAGAGAACUCGGGUGAAGGAACUAGGCAAAAUGGCACCGUAACUUCGGGAGAAGGUGCGCCGGCGAGGGUGAAGGACUUGCUCCGUAAGCUCAUGCCGGUCGAAGAUACCAGGCCGCUGCGACUGUUUAUUAAAAACACAGCACUCUGCAAACACGAAAGUGGACGUAUAGGGUGUGACGCCUGCCCGGUGCCGGAAGGUUAAUUGAUGGGGUUAGCGCAAGCGAAGCUCUUGAUCGAAGCCCCGGUAAACGGCGGCCGUAACUAUAACGGUCCUAAGGUAGCGAAAUUCCUUGUCGGGUAAGUUCCGACCUGCACGAAUGGCGUAACGAUGGCGGCGCUGUCUCCACCCGAGACUCAGUGAAAUUGAAAUCGCUGUGAAGAUGCAGUGUAUCCGCGGCUAGACGGAAAGACCCCGUGAACCUUUACUAUAGCUUUGCACUGGACUUUGAAUUUGCUUGUGUAGGAUAGGUGGGAGGCUUUGAAGUGGGGACGCCAGUUCUCAUGGAGCCAUCCUUGAAAUACCACCCUGGCAACUUUGAGGUUCUAACUCAGGUCCGUCAUCCGGAUCGAGGACAGUGUAUGGUGGGUAGUUUGACUGGGGCGGUCUCCUCCCAAAGAGUAACGGAGGAGUACGAAGGUGCGCUCAGACCGGUCGGAAAUCGGUCGUAGAGUAUAAAGGCAAAAGCGCGCUUGACUGCGAGACAAACACGUCGAGCAGGUACGAAAGUAGGUCUUAGUGAUCCGGUGGUUCUGUAUGGAAGGGCCAUCGCUCAACGGAUAAAAGGUACUCCGGGGAUAACAGGCUGAUACCGCCCAAGAGUUCAUAUCGACGGCGGUGUUUGGCACCUCGAUGUCGGCUCAUCACAUCCUGGGGCUGAAGCCGGUCCCAAGGGUAUGGCUGUUCGCCAUUUAAAGUGGUACGCGAGCUGGGUUUAGAACGUCGUGAGACAGUUCGGUCCCUAUCUGCCGUGGACGUUUGAGAUUUGAGAGGGGCUGCUCCUAGUACGAGAGGACCGGAGUGGACGAACCUCUGGUGUUCCGGUUGUCACGCCAGUGGCAUUGCCGGGUAGCUAUGUUCGGAAGAGAUAACCGCUGAAAGCAUCUAAGCGGGAAACUUGCCUCAAGAUGAGAUCUCACUGGGAUCUUGAAUCCCCUAAAGGGCCGUCGAAGACUACGACGUUGAUAGGUUGGGUGUGUAAGCGCUGUGAGGCGUUGAGCUAACCAAUACUAAUUGCCCGUGAGGCUUGACCAUAUAACACCCAAGCAAUU
RNAcentral lists this ribosomal RNA (1413 nucleotides) under Pseudomonas sp. CAH-1. RNAcentral's name for it is "partial 23S ribosomal RNA". It matches the Rfam family "Bacterial large subunit ribosomal RNA", at positions 1552 to 2925 of the family's 2925-position model. The record is from RNAcentral. Lineage: Bacteria; Pseudomonadati; Pseudomonadota; Gammaproteobacteria; Pseudomonadales; Pseudomonadaceae.